UUUGACCGUUUCUGAGAGAGCUUCUAUCUCAAUGCUGAGAGCUGUCAGCAUUUGCUCCAUAGCACAGCUCUUCUGCUUCUCUUCCUCCAUCAGUUCAGUCAACCUCGCCUCUUCUUCGUCAGCUAGAAACUGCUCCAGUUUGUCCUUCAGAGGCAUCAGCAGAGUCAACAGUUUCUCCCUGUGAUCCUGUGCAGCUUCGUUUAUAGGAUGGAAACUGUGCCUGAAAUGUUGUUUGGAAUCCCUGCAGACGACACACACAGGCUGCUGGUGGUCCAGGCAGAACAGCUUGAAUGUCUCAUUGUGAAGAGUGCACAGAGUGGCGGAGGUUGUCUGAUCACUCUCUGGAAGCCUUCCUGCAAGCUGGAUGUUUGGCCUUCUCCCCAUGGAAGGAUUGAUUGAGUCUCACACUGAGCAGGGGAUUAACCUCCACAAGUUCAGUUCAAGUCCUCCUGGAUUCCCAAGUGACACUCCGCUCAAUAGCUCCUCAGGGUCAAACCAAGUCUAUACCUGUCCGCCUUCCAACGAGUCUCAACCUCUGGAAAAACUCACUCCGACUGGAUUCUGGGAAGAAAGUUUUCUCCACUAACGUGAGUCCCGUUUUCUCUGUCUCUACAAGUCGUCGUUCAAAGUUCCCACGGAUCCUGAACUAACCACUGAUACUUCCCUCUUCCAGUUCCAGUUCAGCAGUUCACUGUGUUUCCUGAAUCCUACCCCGCU
Long non-coding RNA from Cyprinodon tularosa, 717 nucleotides. RefSeq lists it as uncharacterized. NCBI's taxonomy places the organism in Eukaryota, Metazoa, Chordata, Actinopteri, Cyprinodontiformes, Cyprinodontidae. The record is from RefSeq and is a predicted model, not a curated record. The transcript has 3 exons.